RNAcentral lists this ribosomal RNA (1303 nucleotides) under Pseudomonas sp. Its description in RNAcentral is "bacterial SSU rRNA". It matches the Rfam family "Bacterial small subunit ribosomal RNA", at positions 119 to 1421 of the family's 1533-position model. Lineage: Bacteria; Pseudomonadati; Pseudomonadota; Gammaproteobacteria; Pseudomonadales; Pseudomonadaceae. The record is from RNAcentral.
AUGAAUCUGCCGGGCAGGGGGGGAGAACGUUCGCAAACGGACGCUAAUACCGCAUACGUCCUACGGGAGAAAGCAGGGGACCUUCGGGCCUUGCGCUAUCAGAUGAGCCUAGGUCGGAUUAGCUAGUUGGUGAGGUAAUGGCUCACCAAGGCGACGAUCCGUAACUGGUCUGAGAGGAUGAUCAGUCACACUGGAACUGAGACACGGUCCAGACUCCUACGGGAGGCAGCAGUGGGGAAUAUUGGACAAUGGGCGAAAGCCUGAUCCAGCCAUGCCGCGUGUGUGAAGAAGGUCUUCGGAUUGUAAAGCACUUUAAGUUGGGAGGAAGGGUUGUAGAUUAAUACUCUGCAAUUUUGACGUUACCGACAGAAUAAGCACCGGCUAACUCUGUGCCAGCAGCCGCGGUAAUACAGAGGGUGCAAGCGUUAAUCGGAAUUACUGGGCGUAAAGCGCGCGUAGGUGGUUUGUUAAGUUGGAUGUGAAAUCCCCGGGCUCAACCUGGGAACUGCAUUCAAAACUGACUGACUAGAGUAUGGUAGAGGGUGGUGGAAUUUCCUGUGUAGCGGUGAAAUGCGUAGAUAUAGGAAGGAACACCAGUGGCGAAGGCGACCACCUGGACUAAUACUGACACUGAGGUGCGAAAGCGUGGGGAGCAAACAGGAUUAGAUACCCUGGUAGUCCACGCCGUAAACGAUGUCAACUAGCCGUUGGAAGCCUUGAGCUUUUAGUGGCGCAGCUAACGCAUUAAGUUGACCGCCUGGUGGAGUACGGCCCGCAAGGUUAAAACUCAAAUGAAUUGACGGGGGCCCGCACAAGCGGUGGAGCAUGUGGUUUAAUUCGAAGCAACGCGAAGAACCUUACCAGGCCUUGACAUCCAAUGAACUUUCUAGAGAUAGAUUGGUGCCUUCGGGAACAUUGAGACAGGUGAUGCAUGGCUGUCGUCAGCUUGUGUCGUGAGAUGUUGGGUUAAGUCCCGUAACGAGCGCAACCCUUGUCCUUAGUUACCAGCACGUUAUGGUGGGCACUCUAAGGAGACUGCCGGUGACAAACCGGAGGAAGGUGGGGAUGAAGUCAAGUCAUCAUGGCCCUUACGGCCUGGGCUACACACGUCAUACAAUGGUCGGUACAGAGGGUAUCCAAGCCGGGAGGUGGAAUUAAUACCAUAAAGUCGCUGUUAGUCUGGAUGUCAGUCUGCAACUCCCAUGAAGGAAGUGGGAAUAGCUUUAAUGAUCAGCCAGAAUGCGGCGAAGACGUUCCUGGCCGUCGUCACCCCACCCGCCAAGUCACGAAAGUAGGUAACACC